This 235-nucleotide ribosomal RNA is filed under the name uncultured bacterium. RNAcentral describes it as "partial 16S ribosomal RNA". It matches the Rfam family "Bacterial small subunit ribosomal RNA", at positions 99 to 334 of the family's 1533-position model. The record is from RNAcentral.
CGGACGGGUGAGUAACGCGUGGAUAACCUGCCUCACACUGGGGGAUAACAGUUAGAAAUGGCUGCUAAUACCGCAUAAGCGCACAGUACCGCAUGGUACGGUGUGAAAAACUCCGGUGGUGUGAGAUGGAUCCGCGUCUGAUUAGUUAGUUGGCGGGGUAACGGCCCACCAAGACAGCGAUCAGUAGCCGACCUGAGAGGGUGACCGGCCACAUUGGGACUGAGACACGGCCCAA